RNAcentral lists this transfer RNA (77 nucleotides) under Caudoviricetes sp. Its description in RNAcentral is "tRNA-Ser". The record is from RNAcentral. Lineage: Duplodnaviria; Heunggongvirae; Uroviricota; Caudoviricetes.
AGUGCUUACAUGUGGUGGAUAACACGAAGCUAACAACUUUGUGUAUAUCAGUGGGUUCGAUUCCCACAAGCACAUUA